UUGAGGAUGAUGGAGCUGGGGUAUCUGUCAACUCACCGGUUGCCAGAGUCCAUGUGACUAAUAUGGCUGGCUUGAUGUUCUCUUCCUCACUCAUCACAUAGUGAGGAAUCCUCCUGAAAUUCCGUGCCUGGUCAGAGAGAAUGAUGUUCCCUAGUAGAGAAGAACUGUUCUUCAAUCAAAAGUAAGCUGUCACAGAACUCCCCUGCAAGAACCUUUGUACCAGUUAAACUAUUACUGGCGAAUUUAAGCAGAAAAUGAGGAUUAUUAUAAGGGUAGUGGGCAUAUUUUUAGAAGAAAAUGUAAAAAAAAAAUUAUGACCUUGGUAAUGAUGAGGAAACAUUUCUU
Molecule: non-coding RNA, 345 nt
Organism: Homo sapiens (human)
Lineage: Eukaryota; Metazoa; Chordata; Mammalia; Primates; Hominidae
Rfam family: 7SK RNA
About the family: 7SK was discovered as an abundant small nuclear RNA in the mid-70s but a possible function has only recently been suggested. Two independent studies have found that 7SK RNA binds the CDK9/cyclin T complex (known as elongation factor P-TEFb). P-TEFb activates transcription by phosphorylating the C-terminal domain of RNA polymerase II.
Source: Rfam